Molecule: ribosomal RNA, 497 nt
Filed under: uncultured bacterium
Lineage: Bacteria
Description: partial 16S ribosomal RNA
Rfam family: Bacterial small subunit ribosomal RNA
Source: RNAcentral
GAUGAACGCUGGCGGCGUGCCUAAUACAUGCAAGUCGAGCGAACAGAUGAGGAGCUUGCUCCUCUGACGUUAGCGGCGGACGGGUGAGUAACACGUGGAUAACCUACCUAUAAGACUGGGAUAACUUCGGGAAACCGGAGCUAAUACCGGAUAAUAUAUUGAACCGCAUGGUUCAAUAGUGAAAGACGGUUUUGCUGUCACUUAUAGAUUGAUCCGCGCCGCAUUAGCUAGUUGGUAAGGUAACGGCUUACCAAGGCGACGAUGCGUAGCCGACCUGAGAGGGUGAUCGGCCACACUGGAACUGAGACACGGUCCAGACGACUAAGGGAGGCAGCAGUAGGGAAUCUGACGCAAUGGGCGAAAGCCUGACGGAGCAACGCCGCGUGAGUGAUGAAGGUCUUCGGAUCGUAAAAAUCUGUUAUUAGGGAAGAACAAAUGUGUAAGUAACUAUGCACGUCUUGACGGUACCUAAUCAGAAAGCCACGGCUAACUACGUG